Molecule: long non-coding RNA, 349 nt
Organism: Arachis duranensis
Lineage: Eukaryota; Viridiplantae; Streptophyta; Magnoliopsida; Fabales; Fabaceae
Exons: 3
Source: RefSeq, a predicted model, not a curated record
CAUGGAGAAAGUUUAAGGGUUGCUUGGGAGCAUUAGAUGGCACUUAUAUAGAGGUGACAGUCCCCGAGUCUGAUAAGUCAAGAUAUAGAACAAGGAAGGGUAAAAUAUGUACUAAUGUCCUAGGAGUGUGUAACCGAGAUAUGAGCUUUGUUUAUGUACUUAGUGGAUGGGAGGGAUCGGCAUCUGAUUCAAGAAUACUUCGAGAUGCAAUCACUCGUGGUAAUAGUCUCAAGAUACCUCAUGGUAAUUACUAUUUAGUGGAUGCGGGUUACACAAAUGGUCCUGGGUUCCUAGCACCAUAUAGAGGCACUCGCUAUCAUGUUAGAGAGUGGGCUCAAGGAACACGUGC